AUCACAGGUCCUGUACCUUCUCCUGCAGCACAGCCUGGAGCCCGACUCCUGUACAUGGUGGUGGGAAUUACAGCUCAGGAGGCUCCAUAGUGAAGGACACGCCCGCCCCCAGAGGGACCUGCAACCAGCUGACAUCCAUGCCUUCCAUGUGACUACAGCUAAGAACUCAUCACAACCCAAAGGACUCCUAUACCUGGUUCCUACAAUAUAGGAUCGCUCAGUGGAGAUCUUCUAUAUAAGAUCCUUCUCCUGAUUGACCCUACAAGAAUGGACAGGGGCAAGAUGGCGGAGAGGAUAAUAAAUCUCACCCUAGAGAUCCUCUUCCGGCUUACUGGAGAGGACUACACAGUAGUGAAGAAGACCUCUAGUGAGCGCUGUCAGGACCCUGUGUCUGAAGG
Bufo gargarizans (Asiatic toad) is the source of this 398-nucleotide long non-coding RNA. RefSeq lists it as uncharacterized. The transcript is spliced from 4 exons. NCBI's taxonomy places the organism in Eukaryota, Metazoa, Chordata, Amphibia, Anura, Bufonidae. The record is from RefSeq and is a predicted model, not a curated record.